UAGUCCACACCGUAAACGAUGAAUGCCAGUCGUCGGGUAGUAUACUAUUCGGUGACACACCUAACGGAUUAAGCAUUCCGCCUGGGGAGUACGGUCGCAAGAUUAAAACUCAAAGGAAUUGACGGGGCCCGCACAAGCAGUGGAGCAUGUGGUUUAAUUCGACGAUACGCGAAGAACCUUACCAGGGCUUGACAUCUGUAGAACGUUUCAGAAAUGAAAUGGUGCUCGCAAGAGAACUACAAGACAGGUGGUGCAUGGCUGUCGUCAGCUCGUGUCGUGAGAUGUUGGGUUAAGUCCCGCAACGAGCGCAACCCCCAUUCUGUGUUGCCAGCACUAACGGUGGGAACUCACGGAAGACUGCCUGUGGAAAGCAGGAGGAAGGUGGGGGAUUACGUCAAGUCAUCAUGCCCCUUACGCCCUGGGGCUACACACAUGCUACAAUGGGGUAGGACAAUGGGGUUGCGAAGCCGCAAGGGUGAAGGCUAAA
RNAcentral lists this ribosomal RNA (487 nucleotides) under uncultured bacterium. RNAcentral's name for it is "bacterial SSU rRNA". It matches the Rfam family "Bacterial small subunit ribosomal RNA", at positions 791 to 1272 of the family's 1533-position model. The record is from RNAcentral.